Molecule: ribosomal RNA, 526 nt
Filed under: Melanelixia aff. villosella Henson 53 (F)
Lineage: Eukaryota; Fungi; Ascomycota; Lecanoromycetes; Lecanorales; Parmeliaceae
Description: eukaryotic LSU rRNA
Rfam family: Eukaryotic large subunit ribosomal RNA
Source: RNAcentral
AAUUUGAAAUCUGGCCCCUUCGGGGUCCGAGUUGUAAUUUGUAGAGAGUGCUUCGGGGGAGACUGCGGUCUAAGUCCAUUGGAACAUGGCGUCACAGAGGGUGAGAAUCCCGUAUGUGACCGUGGCUCGAACCCAUGUGAAGCCUCUUCGACGAGUCGAGUUGUUUGGGAAUGCAGCUCAAAAUGGGUGGUAAAUUUCAUCUAAAGCUAAAUACUGGCUGGAGACCGAUAGCGCACAAGUAGAGUGAUCGAAAGAUGAAAAGCACUUUGGAAAGAGAGUUAAAAAGUACGUGAAAUUGUUGAAAGGGAAGCGCUGGCAACCAGACCUGCCCGUAGGUGAUCAGCCGCUGUUCUCAGCGGUGCACUCGCUCUGCGAUCAGGCCAGCAUCGGUUCCGGCGGUCGGAUAAAGGCCUUGGGAAUGUACCUUCCCUUCGGGGGAGUCUUAUAGCCCUCGGUGCAAUGCGGCCAGCCGGGACCGAGGACCGCGCUUCGGCUAGGAUGCUGGCGUAAUGGUUGUCAGCGACCC